CCUACGGGGGGCAGCAGUGGGGAAUAUUGCGCAAUGGGCGAAAGCCUGACGCAGCGACGCCGCGUGAGGGAUGAAGGUCUUCGGAUCGUAAACCUCUGUCAGCAGGGAAGAACGGUCACUGUGCUAAUCAGCAGUGAAUUGACGGUACCUGCAAAGGAAGCACCGGCUAACUCCGUGCCAGCAGCCGCGGUAAUACGGAGGGUGCGAGCGUUAAUCGGAAUUACUGGGCGUAAAGCGCUCGUAGGCGGUAUGUCAAGUCAAGGGUGAAAUCCCCGCGCUCAACGUGGGAACUGCCUUUGAAACUGGCAAGCUGGAGUGUGUGAGAGGGUAGUGGAAUUCCAGGUGUAGGGGUGAAAUCCGUAGAUAUCGGGAGGAACACUCGUGGCGAAGGCGGGUUGCUGGACAUUAACUGACGCUGAGGCACGAAAGCCCGGGGAGCGAAAAGGAUUAGAUACCCUGGUAGUC
RNAcentral lists this ribosomal RNA (465 nucleotides) under uncultured bacterium. Its description in RNAcentral is "partial 16S ribosomal RNA". It matches the Rfam family "Bacterial small subunit ribosomal RNA", at positions 338 to 795 of the family's 1533-position model. The record is from RNAcentral.